Molecule: ribosomal RNA, 495 nt
Filed under: uncultured bacterium
Lineage: Bacteria
Description: partial 16S ribosomal RNA
Rfam family: Bacterial small subunit ribosomal RNA
Source: RNAcentral
GACGAACGCUGGCGGCGUGCCUAAUACAUGCAAGUAGAACGCUGAAGGAGGAGCUUGCUUCUCUGGAUGAGUUGCGAACGGGUGAGUAACGCGUAGGUAACCUGCCUGGUAGCGGGGGAUAACUAUUGGAAACGAUAGCUAAUGCCGCAUAAUAGUAGAUGUUGCAUGACAUUUGCUUAAAAGGUGCAAUUGCAUCACUACCAGAUGGACCUGCGUUGUAUUAGCUAGUUGGUGAGGUAACGGCUCACCAAGGCGACGAUACAUAGCCGACCUGAGAGGGUGAUCGGCCACACUGGGACUGAGACACGGCCCAGACUCCUACGGGAGGCAGCAGUAGGGAAUCUUCGGCAAUGGACGGAAGUCUGACCGAGCAACGCCGCGUGAGUGAAGAAGGUUUUCGGAUCGUAAAGCUCUGUUGUAAGAGAAGAACGAGUGUGAGAGCGGAAAGUUCACACUGUGACGGUAUCUUACCAGAAAGGGACGGCUAACUACGUG